This 69-nucleotide transfer RNA is filed under the name Saphonecrus sp. ZJUH 20220015. RNAcentral describes it as "tRNA-Lys". Lineage: Eukaryota; Metazoa; Arthropoda; Insecta; Hymenoptera; Cynipidae. The record is from RNAcentral.
CAUUAAAUAUCUUAAUUAAAGAAAUAAUCUUUUAAAUUAUAUAUAGUAAAAUUAAUUUACUUUUAAUGA